UGAGGAGGGAAAUUUGUAAAGAGGGUUAAUACCGCAUAAUGUCGCAGACCAAAGUGGGGGACCUUCGGGCCUCAUGCCUUCAGAUGUGCCCAGAUGGGAUUAGCUAGUAGGUGGGGUAACGGCUCACCUAGGCGACGAUCCCUAGCUGGUCUGAGAGGAUGACCAGCCACACUGGAACUGAGACACGGUCCAGACUCCUACGGGAGGCAGCAGGGGGGAAUAUUGCACAAUGGGCGCAAGCCUGAUGCAGCCAUGCCGCGUGUGUGAAGAAGGCCUUCGGGUUGUAAAGCACUUUCAGCGGGGAGGAAGGCGGUAAGGUUAAUAACCUCGGCGAUUGACGUUACCCGCAGAAGAACCCUUUUUUUAUUUCCGUGCCAGCAGCCGCGGUAAUACGGAGGGUGUAAGCGUUGAUCGGGAUUUACUGGGCGUAAAAGCGCGCGCAGGCGGUCUGUCAAGUCGGAUGUGAAAAUCCCCCGGGCUCAACCCUGGGAACUGCUUUCGAAACUGGGCAUGCUAGAAGUCUUGUAGAGGGGGGGUAGAAUUCCCAGGUGUAGCCGAUGAAAAUGCGUAGAGAUCUGGGAGGAAAUACCGUUGGGCGAAAGGCUGCCCCCCUGGACAAAAGACUGAGGCUCAGGAGGCAAAAGCGUGGGGCAGCCAUACGGGAUUAGAUACCCCUGGUAGUCCACUCCGGUAAACCGAA
RNAcentral lists this ribosomal RNA (700 nucleotides) under Klebsiella sp. RNAcentral describes it as "bacterial SSU rRNA". It matches the Rfam family "Bacterial small subunit ribosomal RNA", at positions 132 to 811 of the family's 1533-position model. Lineage: Bacteria; Pseudomonadati; Pseudomonadota; Gammaproteobacteria; Enterobacterales; Enterobacteriaceae. The record is from RNAcentral.